Molecule: small nucleolar RNA, 107 nt
Organism: Gastrolobium bilobum
Lineage: Eukaryota; Viridiplantae; Streptophyta; Magnoliopsida; Fabales; Fabaceae
Source: RefSeq, a predicted model, not a curated record
AUGCCAUGUUGAGGACACUUUCGGAGUAGUCCUUUAAACCUUUCCCAUGCCUCGUAUAAAGAUUCACUUUCUUUUUGUUCAAAAUCCGUGAUCUCUAAUUUGAAUCU